GACGAACGCUGGCGGCGUGCCUAAUACAUGCAAGUCGAACGCAUUUUCUUUCACCGUAGCUUGCUACACCGAAAGAAAAUGAGUGGCGAACGGGUGAGUAACACGUGGGUAACCUGCCCAUCAGCGGGGGAUAACACUUGGAAACAGGUGCUAAUACCGCAUAAUUCCAUUUACUGCAUGGUAGAUGGAUGAAGGGCGCUUUUGCGUCACUGAUGGAUGGACCCGCGGUGCAUUAGCUAGUUGGUGGGGUAACGGCCUACCAAGGCUGCGAUGCAUAGCCGACCUGAGAGGGUGAUCGGCCACACUGGGACUGAGACACGGCCCAGACUCCUACGGGAGGCAGCAGUAGGGAAUCUUCGGCAAUGGACGCAAGUCUGACCGAGCAACGCCGCGUGAGUGAAGAAGGUUUUCGGAUCGUAAAACUCUGUUGUUAGAAAAGAACAAGGAUGAGAGUGGAAAGUUCAUCCCUUGACGGUAUCUAACCAGAAAGCCACGGCUAACUACGUG
This 507-nucleotide ribosomal RNA is filed under the name uncultured bacterium. Its description in RNAcentral is "partial 16S ribosomal RNA". It matches the Rfam family "Bacterial small subunit ribosomal RNA", at positions 28 to 507 of the family's 1533-position model. The record is from RNAcentral.